UCCCUGGUGGUUUAGUGGUUAAGACUCCAUGCUUCCACUACAGGGGGCGCAGCUUCAAUCCCUGUUCAGGGAA
RNAcentral lists this transfer RNA (73 nucleotides) under Ovis aries (sheep). It matches the Rfam family "tRNA". Rfam says of the family: Transfer RNA (tRNA) molecules are approximately 80 nucleotides in length. Their secondary structure includes four short double-helical elements and three loops (D, anti-codon, and T loops). Further hydrogen bonds mediate the characteristic L-shaped molecular structure. tRNAs have two regions of fundamental functional importance: the anti-codon, which is responsible for specific mRNA codon recognition, and the 3' end, to which the tRNAs corresponding amino acid is attached (by aminoacyl-tRNA synthetases). tRNAs cope with the degeneracy of the genetic code in two manners: having more than one tRNA (with a specific anti-codon) for a particular amino acid; and 'wobble' base-pairing, i.e. permitting non-standard base-pairing at the 3rd anti-codon position. Lineage: Eukaryota; Metazoa; Chordata; Mammalia; Artiodactyla; Bovidae. The record is from Rfam by way of RNAcentral.